GACCGGCGCACGGGUGAGUAACACGUAUGCAACCUGCCCGCCACAGGGGGAUAAGCGGAAGAAAUUCCGUCUAAUACCGCGUGACGCGGCGCCGGGGCAUCCCGGUGCCGCCAAAGGGAUUACCGGUGGCGGAUGGGCAUGCGGCGCAUUAGCUAGUCGGCGGGGUAACGGCCCACCGAGGCGACGAUGCGUAGGGGUUCUGAGAGGAAGGUCCCCCACACUGGUACUGAGACACGGACCAGACUCCUGCGGGAGGCAGCAGUGAGGAAUAUUGGUCAAUGGGCGCGAGCCUGAACCAGCCAAGUCGCGUGAGGGAUGACGGUCCUACGGAUUGUAAACCUCUUUUGCCGGGGAGCAAGCGUGCGUUCGUGAACGCACGUCGAGAGUACCCGGAGAAAAAGCAUCGGCUAACUCCGUGCCAGCAGCCGCGGUAAUACGGAGGAUGCGAGCGUUAUCCGGAUUUAUUGGGUUUAAAGGGUGCGUAGGCGGGAUGCCAAGUCAGCGGUAAAAAUGCGGUGCUCAACGCCGUCGAGCCGUUGAAACUGGCGUUCUUGAGUGGGCGAGAAGUAUGCGGAAUGCGUGGUGUAGCGGUGAAAUGCAUAGAUAUCACGCAGAACUCCGAUUGCGAAGGCAGCAUACCGGCGCCCUACUGACGCUGAGGCACGAAAGCGUGGGUAUCGAACAGGAUUAGAUACCCUGGUAGUCCACGCAGUAAACGAUGAAUGCUAACU
RNAcentral lists this ribosomal RNA (731 nucleotides) under uncultured bacterium. RNAcentral describes it as "bacterial SSU rRNA". It matches the Rfam family "Bacterial small subunit ribosomal RNA", at positions 93 to 821 of the family's 1533-position model. The record is from RNAcentral.